RNAcentral lists this ribosomal RNA (757 nucleotides) under uncultured bacterium. RNAcentral's name for it is "bacterial SSU rRNA". It matches the Rfam family "Bacterial small subunit ribosomal RNA", at positions 60 to 812 of the family's 1533-position model. The record is from RNAcentral.
AGUCGAGCGGAUGAAGGGAGCUUGCUCCCUGAUUUAGCGGCGGACGGGCGAGUAAUGCCUAGGAAUCUGCCUGGUAGUGGGGGAUAACGUUCCGAAAGGAACGCUAAUACCGCAUACGUCCUACGGGAGAAAGCAGGGGACCUUCGGGCCUUGCGCUAUCAGAUGAGCCUAGGUCGGAUUAGCUAGUUGGUGAGGUAAUGGCUCACCAAGGCGACGAUCCGUAACUGGUCUGAGAGGAUGAUCAGUCACACUGGAACUGAGACACGGUCCAGACUCCUACGGGAGGCAGCAGUGGGGAAUAUUGGACAAUGGGCGAAAGCCUGAUCCAGCCAUGCCGCGUGUGUGAAGAAGGUCUUCGGAUUGUAAAGCACUUUAAGUUGGGAGGAAGGGCAGUAAGUUAAUACCUUGCUGUUUUGACGCUACCGACAGAAUAAGCACCGGCUAACUUCGUGCCAGCAGCCGCGGUAAUACGAAGGGUGCAAGCGUUAAUCGGAAUUACUGGGCGUAAAGCGCGCGUAGGUGGUUCGUUAAGUUGGAUGUGAAAGCCCCGGGCUCAACCUGGGAACUGCAUCCAAAACUGGCGAGCUAGAGUACGGUAGAGGGUGGUGGAAUUUCCUGUGUAGCGGUGAAAUGCGUAGAUAUAGGAAGGAACACCAGUGGCGAAGGCGACCACCUGGACUGAUACUGACACUGAGGUGCGAAAGCGUGGGGAGCAAACAGGAUUAGAUACCCUGGUAGUCCACGCCGUAAACGAUGU